AAGUUGGGGGGCCACCCACACCAAUCCUUUAUUAUAUUAUUAUUUGUUCUACCAAAUCACCCUUGCCCGUUAAUACUUUCCUGAGUUCAUAAGAAAGGGGGCAGAGUAUACACGGGUACUCCCCCGAGGGGGAACCUUGACCGGGUUAACCCAUACAUUUUCCCCAGCAAAGAGAAAGCCUUCGGGUUCCUGAAGACGCCCCGGGUCAUUAUUAGUGGGGAGAACGCUCCACAAGCCCAGAUCAUAGCGCCUGAGAGGUGUUCGCCCCACUGGGAUGAACCCGCCCAGAUUCUUCGGAAGCACAGUAGGAUCUUGGCAAUGACGAAGUCUGACCGACCACGCCGCGUGAUGAAGAAGUUUUCGGAUCGUAAACUCUGUUGUUAGAGAGGACAAGGACGUUAGUAACUGAACGUCCCCUGACGGUAUCUAACCAGAAAGCCACGGCUAACUACGUGCCAGCAGCCGCGGUAAUACGUAGGUGGCAAGCGUUGUCCGGAUUUAUUGGGCGUAAAGCGAGCGCAGGCGGUUUCUUAAGUCUGAUGUGAAAGCCCCCGGCUCAACCGGGGAGGGUCAUUGGAAACUGGGAGACUUGAGUGCAGAAGAGGAGAGUGGAAUUCCAUGUGUAGCGGUGAAAUGCGUAGAUAUAUGGAGGAACACCAGUGGCGAAGGCGGCUCUCUGGUCUGUAACUGACGCUGAGGCUCGAAAGCGUGGGGAGCAAACAGGAUUAGAUACCCUGGUAGUCCACGCCGUAAACGAUGAGUGCUAAGUGUUGGAGGGUUUCCGCCCUUCAGUGCUGCAGCAAACGCAUUAAGCACUCCGCCUGGGGAGUACGACCGCAAGGUUGAAACUCAAAGGAAUUGACGGGGGCCCGCACAAGCGGUGGAGCAUGUGGUUUAAUUCGAAGCAACGCGAAGAACCUUACCAGGUCUUGACAUCCUUUGACCACUCUAGAGAUAGAGCUUUCCCUUCGGGGACAAAGUGACAGGUGGUGCAUGGUUGUCGUCAGCUCGUGUCGUGAGAUGUUGGGUUAAGUCCCGCAACGAGCGCAACCCUUAUUGUUAGUUGCCAUCAUUUAGUUGGGCACUCUAGCGAGACUGCCGGUGACAAACCGGAGGAAGGUGGGGAUGACGUCAAAUCAUCAUGCCCCUUAUGACCUGGGCUACACACGUGCUACAAUGGGAAGUACAACGAGUCGCUAGACCGCGAGGUCAUGCAAAUCUCUUAAAGCUUCUCUCAGUUCGGAUUGCAGGCUGCAACUCGCCUGCAUGAAGCCGGAAUCGCUAGUAAUCGCGGAUCAGCACGCCGCGGUGAAUACGUUCCCGGGCCUUGUACACACCGCCCGUCACACCACGAGAGUUUGUAACACCCGAAGUCGGUGAGGUAACCUUUUUGGAGCCAGCCGCCUAAGGUGGGAUAGAUGAUUGGGGUGAAGUUGAGUGAACAGUGUAGGG
RNAcentral lists this ribosomal RNA (1452 nucleotides) under Enterococcus faecalis. RNAcentral describes it as "partial 16S ribosomal RNA". It matches the Rfam family "Bacterial small subunit ribosomal RNA", at positions 143 to 1501 of the family's 1533-position model. The record is from RNAcentral. Lineage: Bacteria; Bacillati; Bacillota; Bacilli; Lactobacillales; Enterococcaceae.